CGCGGCCGCCGGGCCGCCCGCGGGGUGGGGCGGGGUGGGCCGGGGGGCUCGCCGGGGCCGGGCGGGCCGCGCAGCCCGCGCGGGUGGCAGCUGUCAGCGCGCCGGGCGCCGGCGGGCCUGCAUCCCGAGCCGGAGCUCGAGCCCGCCGUUCCGCGGGGGUGGGGGCGCGGGCCGGCCCGGAGCCCCGCGCCCUCCAUCCUUUCCCCUGGCUCCGCACUUUGUCCCCGGGCCUCGCUUUCGACCAGCGGCGCCCCUGCCCCCGGGUGGCUUUAGGCCCGAAGCACGGACGGGAGACGGCUUUCCUUCUGCUGCGUUUUUCUUUCCUUUUAAAUUAAACCUUCAACUUAAGUUUUUGAAAUUGUACCCACGCGGCCUCGUGAUCCGGCUUGUGCAAGAUUUUUUUUUUUUUGUGCGUUUUUACCCGGAUCUCCGCGGGGGCUCUUGUGUUGUGUUUUUUUUUCUCCCCUCCUCCGGAGUGGAGACCUGAGGCUGGUGUUGAGCUGACAAGACCGUGAGGCGCGUCACCAAGAGCGGAUUCCCAGACUUAGGGGAAGGGCAAGGAAAAGUUGUCUCGGAGGAGCCUGCCUUCCCCGGCUCGCCCAGGUCUGAAAUGCUGACGGCCGAAGAGGCGAUCGGCGCGCAUUGGACAAACACCGAGGCAUGCUUCAAGUUUUCAUGUUGCAUUUCAGGAAUGGGAGACUGGUGUUUUCCAGAAGACGUACCCUCUUUUCUGAUGGCUGAAGGUUCCUUGCACAAGCUCGGUCUUUCCGUUGUAUGACGUUGAUUUACUUUUUUUCUUUUAUGGAUGCCCGAUUUGAAGCUUCGGUGUAAAAAAAGUAGAUUCCCGAAUCACGCUUUUUUUAGGCAAAGCUUCAAGGCCGAAGGCCACUGUAUUACGGAGUUUCAUCAGCCCUUUCCUUGGGAAGCACUGGGUUUUUUAGUUUCUCUCUGCUUCCUUGCCCUCCGUAUGGGAGGAGGUGCCCAUGCGAGCGAUGUCCUUUGAUUUCAUGUCUCUUUGAUCCUCUCUUUAAUGCAGUCUUGUACAAGAUAACCUCAUUCUUGUUCCAGUGCGGUUUGUGGAGUUGGAUGUUUACGUACAAAAGGACCCGGAAAGUGGGCCCGUGCUGUUAGGAAGGCUCUUGGAGAAAGACAGCCGGAGUAGCAUCUUGUAGCUGAAAUGGAUCUCGGGGAUGGUCAGGUUCUCCUGCCUCCUUUGCCAGCUUUGACUCUAUGGUACAAAAGUUGCUUCCUGGGUUAGUCCUAAGGCAGAACACUGGAUCUUCCUUGGUGAGAUUAACUUUAUCAGAAUCAUUCUUGAUGAGAUUAUCUGACAACAGGAUAAUCACAGUGGCUAAAUCAAGAUGGGUUUUGAGGAGGAACGGAAGCUACAGCAGCCUGCUGUAGGCUGGUGUUUUUGUUGUAUAGCUUUAACUGUCCUCCUCCCUAAAGCUUAGAAACAACUGCUUCAAGUAAUCUUUGUAGCCUCAAUAUAUGAGAGCUUUUAAAAGGUAUGAUGAGGAGGGGUUGUAAGAACACAGUUAAUCUGGCAGUAGGCAAGAGUGAGUAGAGCAUGUUUUAAGAGUUGGAGGUAAAUUGUAGUUGCUAGCCAGGAUUUUUUACUGGACGUUGGAAUAGUGAGUUUGUAUGUUGAUUUUUAUAAUUUAAUUUCUUUAAAGUUACACUAAGUGAGAGUUGCUUUUCACUUAAUGAAGACUGUUCCAAAGACAAAAUAAAAAGCAGAUUUUGAGUUGGUGCUUUGUAUUUCACAUGGAACUCUGAGGGUUAUAGUUAUACUUGUUUAACCUCCAUACUUUUCUGGGCCACUUCCUUUCAGGCUAUCAAGUACUUUAUUGAAAGAAACAGUCCUUACAAGGCUAAAGAGAACAAAGAAGCAGCAUAUUGUGGACUUGUUUGUCUCACAUUCUCUGUGAUCACCCAGGGAAUUUCUUCAGUGUAAGUAAAUACUGCGUUAGUGUUAUCAGACGUUUUGAAUGUCUCAGUCUGCUUAAUGAUUCUUUCUGUCAUUAUUUUACCUCCCCUUCCCCAGUGGAAAUAGACAAAACCAGAAAACAAACUUACCUUGUUGGUCAGUUACGAUCAUGUCGCUGCGGAAGGCAUGCUGUUUCCUGCCUGUAAGUUUUUAUAAAUUUUCAGUGAGAUUGAAUUUACGUAAUAUUAUAUGGAUGCUUGCCUCCUGGCUUUUGGUGGUACUGCUCUUUUGUUCAAUCAUUUAAAUAAUAGUACCCCCCUGCCCCCAGGAAAAUAGACUUACUGUUUUGCUUUUGGCAGACCCAGAGAAAGGUACAGUAAAGGAAGGUGCUAUAUACUCUUGGCUAAAACUACUGUUUCUGGAUUACUUCUGGAUUUUUCCCUGUCUUCUGUCUUUUCACUGAUCAUUAACCCUGGAAAACAAAGAAUCUUCAUAUAUAAACAAUGAAUUACUUGUUUAGUUGUAACGUAAUAUUGCAGACCGGCUGUUUAAAUACAUUUAUGUCAACUACUAUAAAAAGCGUCACUUGGAAAGUACAGAGAUUGGCGGCUAAUUCCGUAGUUGUGGUAUCAGUUUAUUUUCUUGGUAGCGUCUGUUGCUGUGCCUAAUUAGUUAGUUGUCAUUUGAAUUUGAAUGUGGCUGGCUGAUAGUGAAUUCUAGUCGGGAUGGGUGUGGAAAGUUACCAUUUAUAUGGCGCUAACUAAAGGCCGAUCUCUUCAUCUGCCUUAGAAAGACUGAACAAGCGUUUCUUAAGCGACUUGUGAGUGUAGUACUAUUGGAGACAACGUAAAGACUGGGUAAAUAUGGUAUCAAAAUUAUUUUUAGGGCUUUAUGGAAUUUAUUUUUUAAACUCUAAGGACCGGGCACCUGGG
Molecule: long non-coding RNA, 2862 nt
Organism: Lutra lutra (Eurasian river otter)
Lineage: Eukaryota; Metazoa; Chordata; Mammalia; Carnivora; Mustelidae
Exons: 3
Source: RefSeq, a predicted model, not a curated record